UAGAUCGCAUGAUCAGCUUUUAAAAAGGCGGCGUAAGCUGUCGCUAUGGGAUGGCCCGCGGUGCAUUAGCUAGUUGGUAAGGUAAAGGCUUACCAAGGCGAUGAUGCAUAGCCCGAGUUGAGAGACUGAUCGGGCCACAUUGGGGACUGAGACACGGGGCCCAAACUCCUACGGGGGGAGGGGCAGCAGUAGGGGGAAUCUUCCACAAUGGACGCAAGUCUGAUGGAGCAACGCCGCGUGAGUGAAGAAGGUUUUCGGAUCGUAAAGCUCUGUUGUUGGUGAAGAAGGAUAGAGGUAGUAACUGGCCUUUAUUUGACGGUAAUCAACCAGAAAGUCACGGCUAACUACGUGCCAGCAGCCGCGGUAAU
RNAcentral lists this ribosomal RNA (368 nucleotides) under uncultured Lactobacillus sp. RNAcentral describes it as "bacterial SSU rRNA". It matches the Rfam family "Bacterial small subunit ribosomal RNA", at positions 182 to 524 of the family's 1533-position model. The record is from RNAcentral. Lineage: Bacteria; Bacillati; Bacillota; Bacilli; Lactobacillales; Lactobacillaceae.